UGCUAAGCUCACUUAGACCUAUGAGCCUUCUAGCCCAGGAUUUUGACAUUGACCAGAGUGGGGCGGUCAGAGUGCGUUCCAAGAAACCCUGCACCAAGCAGUUAGGUUAUCCCUUAUCUCCAAAAAAGUUUCCAUUCCUCCCUCUGUAAUUAGAGGUUAGCUAAUGCCUCAAAUCAUGAGAGUUUAUAUCUUUCCUGAGACCUCAUUUCAAAAAUAACUUUAAAUAUUUACUGCUGUAACGCUGGUCGUGCUCGUUACGAAAGUCCAAUCGUGGCUGGAGUCUUGCCAGGAUUUUAUUAUCUCUCAGCUUCAUCCCAUUUUCCUGCUGCAUGAUGAUCUAAGGGUGGGUGAGAGCAAUGAUUUAUACGAUAACCCAAAAAAAGAAUGGUAGCUGUUUUGGGAAAUUGUCAGAAAGCAACUAACUUUUCCUAUAUAUAGUUUUUUCCAUGUCAUGUAACUCACUGCAGCAGGAGCACAGGCUUUGGCGCUGUGCUGUUAGCCGUGGGUUUGUUUUCCAGCCUUAUGGCUCUGUGCUGGUGGAGACCCCGAGGCUGGGGCCCACCUGCCAGCUGUGAUGUGCUGCUGGCCCAGGGCCACCCCAGGUGCUGGGGUUCGAGAUCUGGUCUGGAGCAGCCCCUUCCCAAUUGCCUUCCCUUUCCUUUUUACGCACUCAGGGUUGAUCUCUGGGGCAGAACGGCGAGCGUUGGCCUGCAGGGUGCGGACAAGAGAACCAGUGAUGAUACAACCAUGGAAAUAUUGGAGCUGUGGAAUUUUGGAAGGCCUGUGCACAGCAUACUGGGGAGCUCAUGCAGCCUGGAGCAGCAAAGGCCAUGUCCAUUCCCAUAUCAAGAUGAAUAUUAUUUCCUUCAGCCAUGCCAUGUCAUUAUGGAAGAUAGCUGGCCUUUCAGACUUCCUGAGAUUUACACAUCUACCACUUUCCUUGUGUUUCAGCUACCUCCUUGGAUUGUACAUAUUAUUACAGCAGUGGUCUCGCCAGCACCAUAUGCAGAGGUAAUAAUAACAUCUUGCUUUGGCACAAUAUGCUCUCAGUAUAACUGAGUAUUGUAUCUUCUAUUUUACAGGACAGCAUAUCAGGUUUUUGGGACUGCCUACUUCUGAAUAUGCUCUAAGAGUGAC
This 1137-nucleotide long non-coding RNA is filed under the name Anas platyrhynchos platyrhynchos (common mallard). Its description in RNAcentral is "lncRNA (ENSAPLG00000024186.1)". Lineage: Eukaryota; Metazoa; Chordata; Aves; Anseriformes; Anatidae. The record is from RNAcentral.